This 21981-nucleotide long non-coding RNA is filed under the name Triticum aestivum (bread wheat). Its description in RNAcentral is "long non-coding RNA (TAES_LNC018884)". The record is from RNAcentral. Lineage: Eukaryota; Viridiplantae; Streptophyta; Magnoliopsida; Poales; Poaceae.
UUUUUUCUCUCUCUUUUUUUUUCUCCCUCUUUCCAAGACAAACUAGAUAAGAUGCAGAUUGGAUCAGGCGAAGAUGUGAAUGACCUCAACUAUGAUUAUGACAAUGAACAGUGCGUAGCACGUGGUGGAAAUUAAUAGAUGGGAUGGUGGACGGCGGAAGGGAUAAUGAUGCAGCGGCGGCGUGACUAAUGUGAACAGAACUCGAAACUCUAAAGGAACUAGACACUAAGACCAGCAACUGACACGACGAUGCAACCGAUAAUUCAACUAUGCAAGCAAUGAAUAGAAAUUUGCAAAGGCUCAGACUGGCUUGGAUAAAGGAUGAACAGAUCUAACUUUUUUUGUGGCUUUUUCAUGGACUAUAGGUAUGAAUGACAGAUGCGAUCUAAACUAUGAAAAACUGUAAAAUCUCACCGAGCAACCUGAAAACUGAUACCACUUGAUAGAGGCGAGGGUCCCGAUCUUUCGAUGAGAUGAUAACUAUCGAUUUGGUGGAGACGACUUUGACGAUCCGACUACAAACGUGCACGACGUUGCGCCUUAGCAAUCGCUAAACCAAUCUCCUGAGGUUACUGACGAUGCUGGAAGCACGGUCAACCUGACCACGAAGGUCUAUUCCUGCAAGCAAUCGAAGAACGAGCAAGAAUAUGAUAAAGCAAUCUGAAUAUUGCAAAUAUAUAUGAAGUAUUGAUAAUGGUGGGGAUCCGGAAGCGGUCUUGGUCUGGUCGUUGGACACAAACGAAGUACACGAAGUUGCAAUGGCUAACUUUUAACUAAACAAAUCCCAAGGAAAAGCUACUAGAUGGAUCUACUUAUAUAGGAGCAAGGGGUGGCGGCCAAGGAGGUGGGAGGACGUCCCAAGGCAGCCUAAAACUAAAUCUAGGUCGUACAAGGCCAAUGGGCCCAAGUGGAGGUGAUGUAACACCUUUGGACUUGUAGUUUGACUCGGAUUCUGCUGCAGCAUCAGAUUGUUUCAUCCACAACUCAACGCUCCUGACGAAUUUGAUGGUGAUUCCAAUUGGGUUGGAAAGUGCACGAAAUCUAGUUUCCAACAAAAAAAGAAUCACCCAAUUCGGAGUCCGUAUGAAAAACUUGUGUGUGUUUUGAGUCAGGUGUGUCUGUGCAGUCCGAAUCUGAAUCCAGAACGUGAGAGACUUGGACUCUAUCUUCUCUUGGGCCAAAAGUGACGUGAGAGAACUUUUUGGACAGCAAAUAAAUAUCUCUUUCUUCCUUAUCUUCAUAUGUGGAUUGUACAAAUGUCCCAUACACCUGCAAUUAGACAAAACACAAAAGUGUGUGAAGUAUUUUUGUUUUGGAUAACAUAAAUAGAUUAUUGAAUAGUUUGCACUAGAAAUCACCUGACAAAUAUGCAUAUAUGCAAUAUUUUUGGUCAUAUCCAAGGUAGUCAUGUCCUCAUCAAUGAAGCCUUGGACGAAAUAUACAAGAUGCCACUUCAUAAAUUUCGUCCCGAGGCUAUUUUAGGUGCUGCGUCACCUUAUUAUUGGGCCAGGCCCAUGUAAUUUCGAAAUACAUAAGUAUAGGCUAUUUUUAGAGUCCGUAUGUGUGGGGAAACAAGAGAUAGGGUUGAUUUCGGACCCCUCCACCAAGGGCCACGAAAUUCCCCCCCUCUUCCUCCAUAUAUACAGCCCUUAGGGCAUCGUUUAGACUUUGGGUUUUGUUUAGAUUAAAAGUUCGCCAUAGCUGCAACUUCGCACACUUCGUUUGUGUUCAACGACCAGACAAAGGCGUCACAGAACCCCACCUUGAUCAAUAAAGCUUUCAUCUUAUAUUGGCAAUAUCCAGAUUGCAAUCUUAGUUUCUUGCUUGUUCUUCGUUUGCUCGCAGGAAACAGACCCUCGUGGUCAGGUUGAUCGUGCUCCGGCGUGGUCAAUAACCUCUCGGAGUUGGUUUAGCGAUUGCUAAGGCGCGACGUCCUUGCACGUUCGUAGUCGGAUCGUCAAAGUCGACUUCCACCAAAGCGAAAUCCACCAUCUCAUCGAAAGACGGGACACCUUUGCCUCUAUCAAUUGGAUGUAGUAAGGAUGUGGAUGUGGUCUUGUGGUGAGAGAAAGCUUCUCGACCAUCUCCAUGCUAGCCAAGUUGUUGCAGCUCCCUCCGUCUAUGAUGACGCGCACAGAACGUUCCUUCACAACUCCCUUGGUAUGGAACAAAUUGUGCCUCUGAUUUUGCUCAGCUUGUGUGAUCUGCACACUCAAAACACGUUGAGCAACUAAACAUUCAUACCUGUCAGCGUCUUCAGGAGCCAUGUAUUGCAUCUCAUGAUCAGAAUCAUCUCCACCAUGUUCUUCACGUGUAAUAAGAGCCAAAGUCUCCUCAUCAUAGUCACUAGCGGACUCAUAUCCACCAUCCGCGGUAGCAAUCAUCACACGCGGAGAUUUGCAUUCUCUCGCAUAAUGACCUCCUCCCUUACAACGACGACAAAUAAUAUCACUUGUGUGCCCUGUUGAUGCCAUGGAAGAAGAAGAACGCUGUGCAGGCCCCGCAGGUGCGCUCUUGGCAGAUAAUGGUGGUUGUGCCUGUUUUCUUGUAUCACGGCUGGAGGUGGCACCGGAUGGAGGUGCUGGUGCAGUUGAAGUAGAAGAUGCACGUGGUGUCCAUGAUGAAGGUCGGCCUGCAGAAAAGGUAGUUCGCCCCAAUGCUUGUCGAUCCUGCACUUCACGUUCAGCUUUACAAGCAAGAUGGAAUAAACGAGUGAUAUUAGUAUACUCCUUAUAGUCUAGAAUGGUCUGAAUCUCUCUAUUUAAUCCACCCAGAAAACGUGCAAGCAUAGCUUCAUUCUCCUCAACAAUACCACAUCUAAUCAUGCCAGUUUGUAAUUCCUGAUAAUAUUCUUCUACAGAAUUUUUUCCUUGUCUUAAACGCUGCAAUUUUUGAAGCAAUUCACGUUGAUAAUAUGGUGGAACCCAACGCGUACGCAUAGCAGUUUUCAAAGCAGCCCAAGUAGUUGGAAUAUGAUAUAAUCUACAAUGUUCAGACCACCAUACACAUGCAAAACUAGUGAAAGCACAAACAGCAGCAGCAACUCGUCUCUCCUCAGGAUAUUGUAAACAUGUAAAUCGUUGUUUAGUUUCUAACUCCCAAGUAAGAUAUAUAUCAGGAACAUAUCUACCCUCAAAUGGUGGAAUAUUCAAUUUCAGUUUAGGAAUAUGGACAUCAUCUCGUACCUGAGGUGGUGGUGCAGGCCUACCAUUACGAAUAUAUACCUGAGGUCGACCUGCUGGUGGUGGUACAGGUGGCUGCACGUGAUGAGGACAUCAAUACAAUUGUUACACCCACAGCCCCUGCUGCUAUACAUACUGGACCAAUUACUAGAGCUCGUGCACGCCAACUAAAUUACCAGGUACUUUCGUUUCUUGGUAAUGAUUCUAAUGUUCAUGAGAAUAUGAUGCUGCCUAAAUUGGAUACAUUUGUUUUGCUUACAAAUGAAGGGCCUAGCUUGGAGAAGGAUGAACAUUGGAGCAAGAACAAGCAUGGAGAUGAUGGCAUGCGCAAGGGAAACAAGAACGGAGUUACAAGUGAUGAUUUCAGGACUUUGAAGCCACCAUAAUGGGUGCAUGAAGCCAUGGACGAAAUAUACAAGAUGCCACUUCAUAAAUUUCGUCCCGAGGCUAUUAUAGGUGCUGCGUCACCUUUUUAUUGGGCCAGGCCCAUGUAAUUUCGAAAUACAUAAGUAUAGGCUAUUUUUAGAGUCCGUAUGUGUGGGGAAACAAGAGAUAGGGUUGAUUUCGGACCCCUCCACCAAGGGCCACGAAAUUCCCCCCCCCCCUCUUCCUCCAUAUAUACAGCCCUUAGGGCAUCGUUUAGACUUUGGGGUUUUGGUUUAGAUUAAAAGUUCGCCAUAGCUGCAACUUCGCGUACUUCGUUUGUGUUCAACGACCAGACAAAGGCGUCACAGAACCCCACCUUCAUCAAUAAAGCUUUCAUCUUAUAUUCGCAAUAUCCAGAUUGCAAUCUUAGUUUCUUGCUUGUUCUUCGUUUGCUCGCAGGAAACAGACCCUCGUGGUCAGGUUGAUCGUGCUCCGGCGUGGUCAAUAACCUCUCGGAGUUGGUUUAGCGAUUGCUAAGGCGCGACGUCCUCGCACGUUCGUAGUCGGAUCGUCAAAGUCGACUUCCACCAAAGCGAUAUCCAUCAUCUCAUCGAAAGACGGGACACCUUUGCCUCUAUCAAGUGGUAUCAGAUUUCCAGGUUGCUCGGUGAGAUUUUACAGUUUUUCGUAGUUUAGAUCGAGUCUGUUCUUCAUACCUAUAGUCCACGAAAAAGCCACAAAAAAAAAUUAGGGUUAGUUCAUCAUAUCCGAACCAAUCUGAGCCUUGCAUAAUCUUUUUAGGGUUUUGCUUUGUUGAAUUUGCGGUUGCAUCGUCGUGUCUAGUUGCUGGUCUUAGAGUCUAGUGUUUUAGAGUUUCGAGUUCUGGUCAUAAGUUGUCACGCCGCCGCCGCACCAUCAUCAUCCCCCCUGCCAUCUACCACCACCGCACCGAAUCCGUAUCCAUAUACCACCACCAAUCCGUGUCCAUAUACCACCACCGAUCCAUAUCCAUAUACUACCACCGCUACCACCAUCGCUGCCAUAUACCACCACCAUAUAUCCACCACCAAUCCGAGUUCCUUGCUUAUUAGGGUUGUUUUCGAGAUCCAUCUAGAUUCCGAUUCGUGUUUCCUUGCCGGAGUAGGUGUCGGAAAAAAAAAAGAGUCGGGUAGCCACGCUCCGUUUAGGCCCAAAAUUUUUCGAAAACGCAUUUUUUGAAAAAUUUUCUGGCUAUCCUAUUUUUAGGUGUUUCUGAGUGUUUUGAGACAGGUGCCAUUAUAGGAAGUUUUUUUGACCCGUUUCCAGUUUUUGGGUCCGGGCAGUCGAAAAAAAAAAUUUGGUCGAAAAAUUUCGUGCCCAUCCUGUCAGUUUGAGCUAGGAAGAGUUUUGAGACACUCGCCAUUAUAGUGAUUUUUCGCAAAAAAAAAAAGCAGCGCAAAAAAAAAAGAGCGCAAAAAAAAAGAGCGAAUUUUUUUUUUCAGAGUGUGCUUUUCCCUUGUUUACGUGCCGCGCCGUGAUUUUGUUGGUGUUCUAGGCUCGCGUCUCUAGCACAGUCUAGCCUAGGACCAUCACAGUACCGUCGUUGAGCGUUUAUUCAACUUUGCAUCUCUGAAUUGAUUAUUGCUGACCCUUUUUGCUACCAUAUUAUAAGCCUUCCCAGCUCCACAUACAUCUACGUCGUGCGUUUGACUCUCCCUGGUAAUCGCUCUAUCCAAGCUUUGAGAGUUUUGACUACAACGGUUGCCGAUCACCGCCUGUUGCUGGGUAAGAACUGGUAAGAAUUUGAGUUUUGCUUGACGGAUUUGUGACACCCACCACCACCACUUGUUCGUAGUCUGUAGGAUCAUAUUCUUGUGUAUUUCUAUUGCUGCUAACCAUGCCAGGAUCACAAGCCGACGAGAUUGACUGGGAGAAUUUAUCGAACAAGGAGCUUCAUGAUAAGUUUCAGCAAAUGAUGACUGAACAGGUGCAAGAUGUGCUGAACAAUUUUGAAGAGGCCAUGGAGAAGAUCACUGGCCUUGAGAAGACGUUCGAAACAAAGCUCGAUAACAGAUUUAAUGAAUUGCUCGCGCGUCUUCCACCACCACCACCCGCUGCACCUAACGCACCUCUCCAACAACAACAACAACGACUGCCUCCACGUCGCGAAAUAGACCUUCGCCGAGCGAGCCAUGUUCCUCUUGCGUUUGGCCAAACUGUUGGUGCUGCUGUUGAUACUUCUGUGGCUCCUGCUACUGCUGUUGCUGGUACCCAGGAGGAUGAUGAGUAUGCGGGCGAUUAUGAGGAUGAGGUUGAUCAAAAUCAGAUCUACGAGCAGCCACCAGCACCACCACCAGCAGGUCGACCUCAGGUAUAUAUUCGUAAUGGUAGGCCUGCACCACCACCUCAGGUACGAGAUGAUGUCCAUAUUCCUAAACUGAAAUUGAAUAUUCCACCAUUUGAGGGUAGAUAUGUUCCUGGUAUAUAUCUUACUUGGGAGUUAGAAACUGAACAACGAUUUACAUGUUUACAAUAUCCUGAGGAGAGACGAGUUGCUGCUGCUGUUUGUGCUUUCACUAGUUUUGCAUGUGUAUGGUGGUCUGAACAUUGUAGAUUAUAUCCUAUUCCAACUACUUGGGCUGCUUUGAAAACUGCUAUGCGUACGCGUUGGGUUCCACCAUAUUAUCAACGUGAAUUGCUUCAAAAAUUGCAGCGUUUAAGACAAGGAAAAAAUUCUGUAGAAGAAUAUUAUCAGGAAUUACAAACUGGCAUGAUUAGAUGUGGUAUUGUUGAGGAGAAUGAAGCUAUGCUUGCACGUUUUCUGGGUGGAUUAAAUAGAGAGAUUCAGACCAUUCUAGACUAUAAGGAGUAUACUAAUAUCACUCGUUUAUUCCAUCUUGCUUGUAAAGCUGAACGUGAAGUGCAGGAUCGACAAGCAUUGGGGCGAACUAACUUUUCUGCAGGCCGACCUUCAUCAUGGACACCACGUGCAUCUUCUACUUCAACUGCACCAGCACCUCCAUCAGGUGCCACCUCCAGCCGUGAUACAAGAAAACAAGCAGAACCACCAUUAUCUGCCAAGAGCGCACCUGCGGGGCCUACACAGCGUUCUUCUUCUUCCAUAGCAUCAACAGGGCACACAAGUGAUAUUAUUUGUCGUCGUUGUAAGGGAGGAGGUCAUUAUGCGAGAGAAUGCAAAUCUCCGCGUGUGAUGAUUGCUACCGCGGAUGGUGGAUAUGAGUCCGCUAGUGACUAUGAUGAGGAGACUUUGGCUCUUAUUACACGUGAAGAACAUGGUGGAGAUGAUUCUGAUAAUGAGACGCAAUACAUGGCUCCUGAAGACGCUGACAGGUAUGAAUGUUUAAUUGCUCAACGUGUUUUGAGUGUGCAGAUCACACAAGCUGAGCAAAAUCAGAGGCACAAUUUGUUCCAUACCAAGGGAGUUGUGAAGGAACGUUCUGUGCGCGUCAUCAUAGACGGAGGGAGCUGCAACAAUUUGGCUAGCAUGAAGAUGGUCGAGAAGCUUUCUCUCACCACAAGACCACAUCCACAUCCUUACUACAUCCAAUGGUUCAAUAACAGCGGCAAGGUUAAGGUAACACGUACUGUUCGUGUGCAUUUUAGUAUAUCUACAUAUGCUGAUUAUGUUGAUUGUGAUGUGGUACCUAUGCAAGCAUGUUCCUUAUUACUUGGUAGACCAUGGCAAUUUGAUAAAAAUUCUGUACACCAUGGUAGAAACAAUCACUAACCUCUCGGAGUUGGUUUAGCGAUUGCUAAGGCGCAACGUCGUGCACGUUUGUAGUCGGAUCGUCAAAGUCGUCUCCACCAAAUCGAUAGUUAUCAUCUCAUCGAAAGAUCGGGACACCCUCGCCUCUAUCACAAAGUCUAAACGAUGCCCUAAGGGCUGUAUAUAUGGAGGAAGAGGGGGGAAUUUCGUGGCCCUUGGUGGAGGGGUCCGAAAUCAACCCUAUCUCUUGUUUCCCCACACAUACGGACUCUAAAAAUAGCCUAUACUUAUGUAUUUCGAAAUUACAUGGGCCUGGCCCAAUAAUAAGGUGACGCAGCACCUAAAAUAGCCUCGGGACGAAAUUUAUGAAGUGGCAUCUUGUAUAUUUCGUCCAAGGCUUCAUGCACCCAUUAUGGUGGCUUCAAAGUCCUGAAAUCAUCACUUGUAACUCCGUUCUUGUUCCCCUUGCGCAUGCCAUCAUCUCCAUGCUUGUUCUUGCUCCAAUGUUCAUCCUUCUCCAAGCUAGGCCCUUCAUUUGUAAGCAAAACAAAUGUAUCCAAUUUAGGCAGCAUCCUAUUCUCAUGAACAUUAGAAUCAUUACCAAGAAACGAAAGUACCUGGUAAUUUAGUUGGCGUGCACGAGCUCUAGUAAUUGGUCCAGUAUGUAUAGCAGCAGGGGCUGUGGGUGUAACAAUUGUAUUGAUGUCCUCAUCAGAAUUGAAGUUGAUAAAGCCAAGAUUGAAGCUAUUGAGAGUUGGCCGCAGCCCAAAACGGUCACACAAGUGAGGAGUUUGCUUGGCCUUGCUGGAUUCUAUAGGCGUUUUGUGAGAGAUUUCAGCACCAUUGCUGCACCUCUCAAUGAGCUUACAAAGAAAGAUGUGCCUUUUCUUUGGGGUACCGCACAGGAAGAAGCCUUCACGGUAUUGAAAGAUAAGUUGACACAUGCUCCUUUACUCCAACUUCCUGAUUUUAAUAAGACUUUUGAGUUUGAAUGUGAUGCUAGUGGAAUUGGAUUAGGAGGUGUGUUAUUACAAGAUGGCAAACCUGUUGCAUACUUUUCUGAAAAAUUGAGUGGGCCUAGUCUGAAUUAUUCUACUUAUGAUAAAGAAUUAUAUGCUCUUGUUCGGACUUUAGAAACAUGGCAACAUUAUUUAUGGCCCAAAGAAUUUGUUAUAUGAUAGAGGCAAAGGUGUCCCGUCUUUGGAUGAGAUGAUGGAUAUCGCUUUGGUGGAAGUCGACUUUGACGAUCCGACUACGAACGUGCGAGGACGUCGCGCCUUAGCAAUCGCUAAACCAACUCCGAGAGGUUAUUGACCACACCGGAGCACGAUCAACCUGACCACGAGGGUCUGUUUCCUGCGAGCAAACGAAGAACAAGCAAGAAGCUGAGAUUGCAAUCUGGAUAUUGCGAAUAUAAGAUGAAAGCUUUAUUGAUCAAGGUGGGGUUCUGUGACGCCUUUGUCUGGUCGUUGAACACAAACGAAGUACGCGAAGUUGCAGCUAUGGCGAACUUUUAAUCUAAACAAAACCCAAAGUCUAAAUGAUGCCCUAAGGGCUGUAUAUAUGGAGGAAGAGGGGGGGUAUUUCGUGGCCCUUGGUGGAGGGGUCCGAAAUCAACCCUAUCUCUUGUUUCCCCACACAUACGGACUCUAAAAAUAGCCUAUACUUAUGUAUUUCGAAAUUACAUGGGCCUGGCCCAAUAAUAAGGUGACGCAGCACCUAAAAUAGCCUCGGGACGAAAUUUAUGAAGUGGCAUCUUGUAUAUUUCGUCCAAGGCUUCAUGCACCCAUUAUGGUGGCUUCAAAGUCCUGAAAUCAUCACUUGUAACUCCGUUCUUGUUCCCCUUGCGCAUGCCAUCAUCUCCAUGCUUGUUCUUGCUCCAAUGUUCAUCCUUCUCCAAGCUAGGUCCUUCAUUUGUAAGCAAAACAAAUGUAUCCAAUUUAGGCAGCAUCAUAUUCUCAUGAACAUUAGAAUCAUUACCAAGAAACGAAAGUACGUGGUAAUUUAGUUGGCGUGCGCGAGCUCUAGUAAUUGGUCCAGUAUGUAUAGCAGCAGGGCCUGUGGGUGUAACAAUGGUAUUGAUGUCCUCAUCAUCCUCCCCUUUUUGAAAUGAAGUCGUCCUCGACGGAAACUCAUCUUCCUCACCCAAAUAAGGCUUCAAAUCUGCAAUGUUAAAAGUGGGACUAACCCCAAAAUCUGCAGGCAACUCAAGUUUAUAUGCAUUAUCAUUUAUUUUCUCUAACACCUUAAAGGGACCAUCAGCACGUGGCAUUAGCUUUGAUUUGCGCAAAUCAGGAAAUCUAUCCUUACGCAAAUGUAACCAAACAAGAUCUCCAGGUGCAAACACAACAUGUUUUCGGAUGAGGACAUCAAUACAAUUGUUACACCCACAGCCCCUGCUGCUAUACAUACUGGACCAAUUACUAGAGCUCGUGCACACCAACUAAAUUACCAGGUACUUUCGUUUCUUGGUAAUGAUUCUAAUGUUCAUGAGAAUAUGAUGCUGCCUAAAUUGGAUACAUUUGUUUUGCUUACAAAUGAAGGGCCUAGCUUGGAGAAGGAUGAACAUUGGAGCAAGAACAAGCAUGGAGAUGAUGGCAUGCGCAAGGGGAACAAGAAUGGAGUUACAAGUGAUGAUUUCAGGACUUUGAAGCCACCAUAAUGGGUGCAUGAAGCCUUGGACGAAACAUACAAGAUGCCACUUCAUAAAUUUCGUCCCGAGGCUAUUUUAGGUGCUGCAUCACCUUAUUAUUGGGCCAGGCCCAUGUAAUUUCUUAAUACAUAAGUAUAGGCUAUUUUUAGAGUCCGUAUGUGUGGGGAAACAAGAGAUAGGGUUGAUUUCGGACCCCUCCACCAAGGGCCACGAAAUUCCCCCUCUUCCUCCAUAUAUACAGCCCUUAGGGCAUCGUUUAGACUUUGGGUUUUGUUUAGAUUAAAAGUUCGCCAUAGCUGCAACUUCGCGUACUUCGUUUGUGUUUAACGACCAGACAAAGGCGUCACAGAACCCCACCUUGAUCAAUAAAGCUUUCAUCUUAUAUUCACAAUAUCCAGAUUGCAAUCUUAGUUUCUUGCUUGUUCUUCGUUUGCUCGCAGGAAACAGACCCUCGUGGUCAGGUUGAUCGUGCUCCGGCGUGGUCAAUAACCUCUCGGAGUUGGUUUAGCGAUUGCUAAGGCGCGACGUCCUCGCACGUUCGUAGUCGGAUUGUCAAAGUCGACUUCCACCAAAGCGAUAUCCAUCAUCAAAUCGAAAGACGGGACACCUUUGCCUCUAUCAAGUGGUAUCAGAUUUCCAGGUUGCUCGGUGAGAUUUUACAGUUUUUGUAGUUUAGAUCGAGUCUGUUCUUCAUACCUAUAGUCCACGAAAAAGCCACAAAAAAAUUAGGGUUAGUUCAUCAUAUCCGAACCAAUCUGAGCCUUUGCAUAAUCUUUUUAGGGUUUUGCUUUGUUGAAUUUGCGGUUGCAUCGUCGUGUCUAGUUGCUGGUCUUAGAGUCUAGUCUUUUAGAGUUUCGAGUUCUGGUCAUAAGUUGUCACGCCGCCGCCGCACCAUCAUCAUCACCCCUGCCAUCUACCACCACCGCUUAUCCGCCAACGCUACGAAUCCGUAUCCAUAUACCACCACCGCUGCCAUCUACCACCAUAUAUCCACCCCCAAUCCGAGUUCUUGUCAUAUUAGGUUUGUUUUCCAGAUCCAUCUAGAUUCCGUUUCGUGUUUCCUUGCCGGAGUAGGUUUCGGAAAAAAAAAAGAGUCCGGAAACCACGCUCCGUUUAGGCCCAAAAUUUUUCGAAAACACAUUUUUCGAAAAAAAUUCUGGCUAUCCUAUUUUUAGGUGUUUCUGAGUGUUUUGAGACAGGUGCCAUUAUAGGAAGUUUUUUUGACCCAUUUCCAGUUUUUGGGUCCGGGCAGUCAAAAAAAAAAUUGGUCGAAAAAAUUCCGUGCCCAUCCUGUCAGUUGGAGCUAGGAAGAGUUUUGAGACACUCGCCAUUAUAAUGAUUUUUCGCAAAAAAAAGAGCGAAUAUUUUUUUCCAGAGUGUGCUUUUCCCUUGUUUACGUGCCGCGCCGUGAUUUUGUUGGUGUUCUAGGCUCGCGUCUCUAGCACAGUCUAGCCUAGGACCAGCACAGUACCGUCGUUGAGCGUUUAUUCAACUUUGCAUCUCUGAAUUGAUUAUUGCUGACCCUUUUUGCUACCAUAUUAUAAGCCUUCCCAGCUCCACAUACAUCUACGUCGUGCGUUUGACUCUCCCUGGUAAUCGCUCUAUCCAAGCUUUGAGAGUUUUUGACUACAACGGUUGCCGAUCACCGCCUGCUGCUGGGUAAGAACUGGUAAGAAUUUGAGAUUUGCUUGACAGAUUUGUGACACCCACCACCACCUCUUGUUAGUAGUCUGUAGGAUCAUAUUCUUGUGUGUUUCUAUUGCUGCUAACCAUGCCAGGAUCACAAGCCGACGAGACUGACUGGGAGAACAUGACGAAUAAGGAUUUGCAUGAUAAAUUUCAGCAAAUGAUGAGUGAACAGGUGCAAGACGUGCUAAACAGAUUUGAAGAGGCCAUGGAGAAGAUAGAUGGCAUGGAGAAGACGUUCGAAACAAAGCUCGAUAACAAGUUUAAUGAAUUGCUCGCGCGUCUUCCACCACCACCACCCGCUGCACCUAUCGCACCUCUCCAACAACAACAACAACGACUACCUCCACGUCGCGAAAUAGACCUCCGCCGAGCAAGCCGUGUUCCUCUUGCGUUUGGCCAAACUGUUGGUGCUGCUAUUGAUACUUCUGUGGCUUCUGCUGCUGAUGCGGAGGAGGAUGAUUAUGUGGGAGAUUACGAGGAUGAGGUUGCUCAAAAUCAGAACUACGUGCAACCACCAGCACCACCACCAGCAGGUCGACCUCAGGUAUAUAUUCGUAAUGGUAGGCCUGCACCACCACCUCAGGUACGAGAUGAUGUCCAUAUUCCUAAACUGAAAUUGAAUAUUCCACCAUUUGAGGGUAGAUAUGUUCCUGAUAUAUAUCUUACUUGGGAGUUAGAAACUGAACAACGUUUUACAUGUUUACAAUAUCCCGAGGAGAGACGGGUUGCUGCUGCUGUUUGUGCUUUCACUAGUUUUGCAUGUGUCUGGUGGUCUGAACAUUGUAGAUUAUAUCCUAUUCCAACUACUUGGGCUGCUUUGAAAACUGCUAUGCGUACGCGUUGGGUUCCACCAUAUUAUCAACGUGAAUUGCUUCAAAAAUUGCAGCGUUUAAGACAAGGAAAAAUUUUUGUAGAAGAAUAUUAUCAGGAAUUACAAACUGGCAUGAUUCGAUGUGGUAUUGUUGAGGAGAAUGAAGCUAUGCUUGCACGUUUUCUGGGUGGAUUAAAUAGAGAGAUUCAGACCAUUCUAGACUAUAAGGAGUAUACUAAUAUCACUCGUUUAUUCCAUCUUGCUUGUAAAGCUGAACGUGAAGUGCAGGAUCGACAAGCAUUGGCGCGAACUAACUUUUCUGCAGGCCGACCUUCAUCAUGGACACCGCGUGCAUCUUCUACUUCAACUGCACCAGCACCUCAAUCAGGUGCCUCCUACAGCCGUGAUACAAGAAAACAGGAACAACCACCAUUAUCUGCCAAGAGCGCACCUGCCGGGCCUGCAUAGAGUUCUUCUUCUUCCAGGGCAUCAACAGGGCACACAAGUGAUAUUAUUUGUCGUCGUUGUAAGGGAGGAGGUCAUUAUGCGAGAGAAUAAAAAUCUCCGCAUGUGAUGAUUGCUACCGAGGGUGGUGGAUAUGAGUCCGCUAGUGACUAUGAUGAGGAGACAUUGGCUCUUAUUACACGUGAAGAACAUGGUGGAGAUGAUUCUGAUCAUGAGACGCAAUACAUGGCUCCUGAAGACGCUGACAGGUAUGAAUGUUUAGUUGCUCAACGUGUUUUGAGUGUGCAGGUCACACAAGCUGAGCAAAAUCAGAGGCACAAUUUGUUCCAUACCAAGGGAGUUGUGAAGGAACGUUCUAUGCGCUUCAUCAUAGACGGAGGGAGCUGCAACAACUUGGCUAGCAUGGAGAUGGUGGAGAAGCUUUCUCUCACCACAAGACCACAUCCACAUCCUUACUACAUCCAAUGGUUCAACAACAACGGCAAGGUUAAGGUAACACGUACUGUUCGUGUGCAUUUUAGUAUCUCUACAUAUGCUGAUUAUGUUGAUUGUGAUGUGGUACCUAUGCAAGCACGUUCCUUAUUACUUGGUAGACCAUGGCGAUUUGAUAAAAAUUCUGUACACCAUGGUAGAAACAAUCACUAUACUCUUGUUCAUAAGGAUAAAAAUAUUACUUUGCUUCCUAUGACUCCUGAUUCCAUUUUGAAAGAUGAUAUUAAUAGAGCUAAUAAAGCAAAACAGGAGAAGAAUAAGAGUGAAAAUCAGAUUGUGGCAAAAGAAUUUGAGCAACAAAUGAAGCCUAAUAAUAAACCAUCUAGUGUUGCUUCUGAAAUUAAAUUGAAAAGUGCAUGUUUAUUUGCCACCAAAUCUGAUAUUGAUGAGCUAGAUUUCAGCAAAUCUGUUUGCUAUGCUUUUGUGUGCAAAGAGGCAUUAUUUUCAUUCGAGGACGUGCCUUCCUCUUUGCCUCCUGCUGUCACUAACAUUUUGCAGGAGUUCGCUGACGUUUUUCCACAAGACGUGCCACCGGGAUUACCGCCUAUUCGAGGGAUUGAGCAUCAGAUUGACUUAAUUCCCGGUGCUUCACUGCCAAACCAUGCACCAUACCGUACCAAUCCAGAGGAGACGAAGGAGAUUAUGCAUCAAGUACAAGAGCUUCUCGACAAAGGUUAUAUACGUGAAUCCCUUAGUCCUUGUGCUGUUCCUAUUAUUCUAGUGCCGAAAAAAGAUGGUACAUCACGUAUGUGUGUUGAUUGUAGAGGCAUUAAUAAUAUUUUUAUUCGUUAUCGUGAGCCUAUUCCUAGGCUAGAUGAUAUGCUUGAUGAAUUGAGUGGCUCUACAAUAUUCUCCAAAGUUGAUUUGCGUAGUGGCUACCAUCAAAUUCGUAUGAAAUUGGGAGAUGAAUGGAAAACAGCAUUUAAAACUAAGUUUGGAUUAUAUGAGUGGUUAGUCAUGCCUUUUGGGUUAACUAAUGCACCUAGUACUUUCAUGAGAUUAAUGAACGAAGUUUUACGUGCUUUCAUUGGACGAUUUGUGGUAGUUUACUUUGAUGACAUAUUGAUUUAUAGCAGAUCUUUGGAAGAACAUGUCAAAAAGCUUGACUUUUAAUAUGUUUCAAAGAUUCAUGAUCAGAAUGUAUAACAAAUUCUUUGGGCCUUAAAUAAUGUUGCCAUGUUUCUAAAGUCCGAACAAGAGCAUAUAAUUCUUUAUCAUAAGUAGAAUAAUUCAGACUAGGCCCACUCAAUUUUUCAGAAAAGUAUGCAACAGGUUUGCCAUCUAGUAAUAACACACCUCCUAAUCCAAUUCCACUAGCAUCACAUUCAAGCUCAAAAGUCUUAUUAAAAUCAGGAAGUUGGAGUAAAGGAGCAUGUGUCAACUUAUCUUUCAAUACCAUGAAGGCUUCUUCCUGUGCGGUACCCCAAAGAAAAGGCACAUCUUUCUUUGUAAGCUCAUUGAGAGGUGCAGCAAUGGUGCUGAAAUCUCUCACAAAACGCCUAUAGAAUCCAGCAAGGCCAAGAAAACUCCUCACUUGUGUGACCGUUUUGGGCUGCGGCCAACUCUCAAUAGCUUCAAUCUUGGCUUUAUCAACUUCAAUUCCCUGUGGAGUAACAACAUAGCCAAGAAAAGAUACUCGGUCGGUGCAAAAGGUGCACUUCCCAAGGUUACCAAACAAAUGUGCAUCACGUAGAGCAAUAAAAACAGCACGUAAAUUGAUAGAGGCAAAGGUGUCCCGUCUUUCGAUGAGAUGAUGGAUAUCGCUUUGGUGGAAGUCGACUUUGACGAUCCGACUACGAACGUGCGAGGACGUCGCGCCUUAGCAAUCGCUAAACCAACUCCGAGAGGUUAUUGACCACGCCGGAGCACGAUCAACCUGACCACGAGGGUCUGUUUCCUGCGAGCAAACGAAGAACAAGCAAGAAACUAAGAUUGCAAUCUGGAUAUUGCGAAUAUAAGAUGAAAGCUUUAUUGAUCAAGGUGGGGUUCUGUGACGCCUUUGUCUGGUCGUUGAACACAAACGAAGUACGCGAAGUUGCAGCUAUGGCGAACUUUUAAUCUAAACAAAACCCAAAGUCUAAACGAUGCCCUAAGGGCUGUUUAUAUGGAGGAAGAGGGGGGAAUUUCGUGGCCCUUGGUGGAGGGGUCCGAAAUCAACCCUAUCUCUUGUUUCCCCACACAUACGGACUCUAAAAAUAGCCUAUACUUAUGUAUUUCGAAAUUACAUGGGCCUGGCCCAAUAAUAAGGUGACGCAGCACCUAAAAUAGCCUCGGGACGAAAUUUAUGAAGUGGCAUCUUGUAUAUUUGGUCCAAGGCUUCAUGCACCCAUUAUGGUGGCUUCAAAGUCCUGAAAUCAUCACUUGUAACUCCGUUCUUGUUCCCCUUGCGCAUGCCAUCAUCUCCAUGCUUGUUCUUGCUCCAAUGUUCAUCCUUCUCCAAGCUAGGCCCUUCAUUUGUAAGCAAAACAAAUGUAUCCAAUUUAGGCAGCAUCAUAUUCUCAUGAACAUUAGAAUCAUUACCAAGAAACGAAAGUACCUGGUAAUUUAGUUGGCGUGCACGAGCUCUAGUAAUUGGUCCAGUAUGUAUAGCAGCAGGGGCUGUGGGUGUAACAAUUGUAUUGAUGUCCUCAUCAUCCUCCCCUUCUUGAAAUGAAGUCGUCCUCGACGGAAGUUCAUCUUCCUCACCCAAAUAAGGCUUCAAAUCUGCAAUGUUAAAAGUGGGACUAACCCCAAAAUCUACAGGCAGCUCAAGUUUAUAUGCAUUAUCAUUUAUUUUCUCUAACACCUUAAAGGGACCAUCAGCACGUGGCAUUAACUUUGAUUUGCGCAAAUCAGGAAAUCUAUCCUUACGCAAAUGUAACCAAACAAGAUCUCCAGGUGCAAAAACAACAUGUUUUCUACCCUUAUCUCCAGCAAGUUUAUAUUUAGCAUUCAUACGCUCAAUGUUUUCCUUAGUUAACUCAUGCAUUUUUAAAAUCAAUUCAGCAUGUUGUUUAGCAUCAAAAUUAACCUUCUCCGAAGAUGGAAGAGGCAACAAAUCAAUAGGUGCACGAGGUAGGAAACCAUACACAACUUCAAAAGGGCACAUCUUAGUAGUAGAAUGCAAUGAACAAUUAUAAGCAAAUUCAAUAUGAGGCAAGCAUUCCUCCCACAUUUUCUUAUUAUUCUUCAAAACAGCCCUAAGCAUAGUAGACAACGUUCUAUUGACUACUUCAGUUUGUCCAUCAGUUUGGGGGUGACAAGUAGUACUAAAAAGGAGUUUAGUCCCCAACUUAGCCCAUAAACAUCUCCAAAAGUGGCUAAGAAAUUUAGUAUCACGAUCUGAAACAAUAGUAUUUGGCACACCAUGCAAGCGAAUAAUUUCACGAAAGAACAAAUCAGCAACAUUAACAGCAUCAUCGCUUUUAUGACAUGGUAUAAAGUGUGCCAUUUUCGAGAAUCUAUCCACGACAACAAAUAUGCUAUCCCUCCCCUUCUUUGUUCGAGGUAAACCUAAAACAAAGUCCAUAGAUAUAUCCUCCCAAGGAACACUAGGUACAGGCAAAGGCAUAUAUAAACCAUGAGGAUUGAGUCGUGACUUAGCUUUUUGACAUGUAGUGCAUCGAGCAAUAAAAUGCUCAACAUCCUGUCUCAUCUUUGGCCAAAAGAAAUGUAUAGCAAGUACGUCCUCCGUCUUUUUCACGCCAAAGUGUCCCAUUAAUCAUCCUCCAUGCGCCUCCUGCAACAACAAAAGACAAACGGAGCUAGCUGGAAUGCAUAGCUUGUUAGCACGAAACACAAAUCCAUCGUUAAUGACAAACUUGUUCCACAUUCUACCUUCUUUACAAUUCUGCAUUACAUCUUUAAAAUCAGCAUCAUGCACAUAUUGAUCUUUGAUGGUCUCCAAACCAAAUAUUUUGAAGUCAAGUUGUGAAAGCAUAGUAUAGAGACGAGACAAUGCAUCAGCAAUAACAUUUUCUUUUCCCUUUUUGUGUUUAAUGACAUAAGGGAAAGUCUCAAUGAAUUCGACCCAUUUAGCAUGUCUACGAUUCAGUUUAGCUUGACUUUUAAUAUGUUUCAAAGAUUCAUGAUCAGAAUGUAUAACAAAUUCUUUGGGCCAUAAAUAAUGUUGCCAUGUUUCUAAAGUCCGAACAAGAGCCUAUAAUUCUUUAUCAUAAGUAGAAUAAUUCAGACUAGGCCCACUCAAUUUUUCAGAAAAGUAUGCAACAGGUUUGCCAUCUUGUAAUAACACACCUCCUAAUCCAAUUCCACUAGCAUCACAUUCAAGCUCAAAAGUCUUAUUAAAAUCAGGAAGUUGGAGUAAAGGAGCAUGUGUCAACUUAUCUUUCAAUACCGAGAAGGCUUCUACCUGUGCGGUACCCCAAAGAAAAGACACAUCUUUCUUUGUAAGCUCAUUGAGAGGUGCAGCAAUGGUGCUGAAAUCUCUCACAAAACACCUAUAGAAUCCAGCGAGGCCAAGAAAACUCCUCACUUGUGUGACCGUUUUGGGCUGCGGCCAACUCUCAAUAGCUUCAAUCUUGGCUUUAUCAACUUCAAUUCCCUGUGGAGUAACAACAUAGCCAAGAAAAAAUACUCGGUCGGUGCAAAAGGUGCACUUCCCAAGGUUACCAAACAAACGUGCAUCACGUAGAGCAAUAAAAACAGCACGUAAAUGUUCCAAAUGUUCUUCCAAAGAUCUGCUAUAAAUCAAUAUGUCAUCAAAGUAAACUACCACAAAUCGUCCAAUGAAAGCACGUAAAACUUCGUUCAUUAAUCUCAUGAAAGUACUAGGUGCAUUAGUUAACCCAAAAGGCAUGACUAACCACUCAUAUAAUCCAAACUUAGUUUUAAAUGCUGUUUUCCAUUCAUCUCCCAAUUUCAUACGAACUUGAUGGUAUCCACUACGCAAAUCAACUUUGGAGAAUAUUGUAGAGCCACUCAAUUCAUCAAGCAUAUCAUCUAGCCUAGGAAUAGGAUGACGAUAACGAAUAGUAAUAUUAUUAAUGCCUCUACAAUCAACACACAUACGUGAUGUACCAUCCUUUUUCGGCACUAGAAUAAUAGGAACGGCACAAGGACUAAGGAAUUCGCGUAUAUAACCUUUGUCGAGAAGUUCUUGUACUUGACGCAUAAUCUCCUUCGUCUCCUCUGGAUUGGUACGGUAUGGUGCACGGUUUGGCAGUGAAGCACCGGGAAUUAAGUCAAUCUGAUGCUCAAUCCCUCGAAUAGGCGGUAAUCCCGGUGGCACGUCUUCUGGAAAGACGUCAGCGAACUCCUGCAAAAUGUUAGUGACAGCAGGAGGCAAAGAGGAAGGCAUGUCCUCGAAUGAAAAUAAUGCCUCUUUGCACACAAAAGCAUAGUAAACAGAUUUGCUGAAAUCUAGCUCAUCAAUAUCAGAUUUGGUGGCAAAUAAACAUGCACUUUUCAAUUUAAUUUUAGAAGCAACACUAGAUGGUUUAUUAUUAGGCUUCAUUUGUUGCUCAAAUUCUUUUGCCACAAUCUGAUUUUCACUCUUAUUCUUCUCCUGUUUUGCUUUAUUAGCUCUAUUAAUAUCAUCUUUCAAAAUGGAAUCAGGAGUCAUAGGAAGCAAAGUAAUAUUUUUAUCCUUAUGAACAAGAGUAUAGUGAUUGUUUAUACCAUGGUGUACAGAAUUUUUAUCAAAUUGCCAUGGUCUACCAAGUAAUAAGGAACAUGCUUGCAUAGGUACCACAUCACAAUCAACAUAAUCAGCAUAUGUAGAGAUACUAAAAUGCACACGAACAGUACACGUUACCUUAACCUUGCCGCUAUUGUUGAACCAUUGGAUGUAGUAAGGAUGUGGAUGUGGUCUUGUGGUGAGAGAAAGCUUCUCCACCAUCUCCAUGCUAGCCAAGUUGUUGCAGCUCCCUCCGUCUAUGAUGACGCGCAUAGAACGUUCCUUCACAACUCCCUUGGUAUGGAACAAAUUGUGCCUCUGAUUUUGCUCAGCUUGUGUGACCUGCACACUCAAAACACGUUGAGCAACUAUACAUUCAUACCUGUCAGCGUCUUCAGGAGCCAUGUAUUGCGUCUCAUGAUCAGAAUCAUCUCCACCAUGUUCUUCACGUGUAAUAAGAGCCAAAGUCUCCUCAUCAUAGUCACUAACGGACUCAUAUCCACCAUCCGCGGUAGGAAUCAUCACACGCGGAGAUUUGCAUUCUCUCGCAUAAUGACCUCCUCCCUUACAACGACGACAAAUAAUAUCACUUUUAUGCCCUGUUGAUGCUAUGGAAGAAGAAGAACGCUGUGCAGGCCCCGCAGGUGCGCUCUCGGCAGAUACUGGUGGUUGUGCCUGUUUUCUUGUAUCACGGCUGGAGGUGGCACCUGAUGGAGGUGCUGGUGCAGUUGAAGUAGAAGAUGCACGUGGUGUCCAUGAUGAAGGUCGGCCUGCAGAAAAGUUAGUUCGCGCCAAUGCUUGUCGAUCCUGCACUUCACGUUCAGCUUUACAAGCAAGAUGGAAUAAACGAGUGAUAUUAGUAUACUCCUUAUAGUCUAGAAUGGUCUGAAUCUCUCUAUUUAAUCCACCCAGAAAACUUGCAAGCAUAGCUUCAUUCUCCUCAACAAUACCACAUCUAAUCAUGCCAGUUUGUAAUUCCUGAUAAUAUUCUUCUACAGAAUUUUUUCCUUGUCUUAAGCGCUGUAAUUUUUGAAGCAAUUCACGUUGAUAAUAUGGUGGAACCCAACAAGUACGCAUAGCAGUUUUCAAAGCAACCCAAGUAGUUGGAAUAGGAUAUAAUAUACAAUGUUCAGACCACCAUACACAUGCAAAACUAGUGAAAGCACAAACAGCAGCGGCAACCCGUCUCUCCUCGGGAUAUUGUAAACAUGUAAAUCGUUGUUCAGUUUCUAACUCCCAAGUAAGAUAUAUAUCAGGAACAUAUCUACCCUCGAAAGGUGGAAUGUUCAAUUUCAGUUUAGGAAGAUGGUCAUGAUCUCGUACCUGAGGGAAAGCCCUACCAUUGUGAUUAUUUGCAUGUGGAUGACCUGGUGGUUGUGGUGCAGGUGGUUGCACAUAGUUCUGAUUUUGAGCAACCUCAUCCUCGUAAUCUCCCACAUAAUCAUCCUCCUCCGCAUCAGCAGCAGGAGCCACAGAAGUAUCAAGAGUAGCACCAACAGUUUGGCCAAACGCAAGAGGAACACGGCUCGCUCGGCGGAGGUCUGUUUUGCGACGUGGAGGUAGUCGUUGUUGUUGUUGUUGGAGAGGUGUGUUAGGUGCAGCGGGUGGUGGUGGUGGAAGACGCGCGAGCAAUUCAUUAAACUUGUUAUCGAGCUUUGUUUCGAACGUCUUCUCCAUGCCAUCUAUCUUCUCCAUGGCCUCUUCAAAUCUGUUUAGCACAUCUUGCACCUGUCCACUCAUCAUUUGCUGAAAUUUAUCAUGCAAAUCCUUAUUCGUCAUGUUCUCCCAGUCAGUCUCGUCGGCUUGUGAUCCUGGCAUGGUUAGCAGCAAUAGAAACACACAAUAAUAUGAUCCUACAGACUACUAACAAGAGGUGGUGGUGGGUGUGACAAAUCCGUCAAGCAAAUCUCAAAUUCUUACCAGUUCUUACCCAGCAGCAGGCGGUGAUCGGCAACCGUUGUAGUCAAAAACUCUCAAAGCUUGGAUAGAGCGAUUACCAGGGAGAGUCAACCGCACGACGUAGAUGUAUGUGGAGCUGGGAAGGCUUAUAAUAUGGUAGCAAAAGGGGUCAGCAAUAAUCAAUUCAGAGAUGCAAAGUUGAAUAAACGCUCAACGACGGUACUGUGCUGGUCCUAGGCUAGACUGUGCUAGAGACGCGAGCCUAGAACACCAACAAAAUCACGGCGCGGCACGUAAACAAGGGAAAAGCACACUCUGGAAUUUUUUGUUUCGCUUUUUUUUUUCUUUUGCGCUGCUUUUUUUUUUGCGAAAAAUCACUAUAAUGGCGAGUGUCUCAAAACUCUUCCUAGCUCAAAUUGACAGGAUGGGCACGAAAUUUUUUCGACCAAUUUUUUUUUCGACUGCCCGGACCCAAAAACUGGAAACGGGUCAAAAAAACUUCCUAUAAUGGCACCUGUCUCAAAACACUCAGAAACACCUAAAAAUAGGAUAGCCAAAUUUUUUUUCGAAAAAUGCGUUGUCGAAAAUUUUUGGGCCUAAACGGAGCGUGGUUUCCGGACUCGUUUUUUUUUUCGAUACCUACUCCGGCAAGGAAACACGAAUCGGAAUCUAGAUGGAUCUCGAAAACAAACCUAAUAUGACAAGAACUGGGAUUGGUGGUGGAUAUAUGUUGGUAGAUGGCAGCGGUGGUGGUAUAUGGAUACGGAUUCGAAGCGGUGGCGGAUAAGCGGUGGUGGUAGAUGGCAGGGGCGAUGAUGAUGGUGCGGCGGCGGCGUGACAACUUAUGACCAGAACUCGAAACUCUAAAAGACUAGACUCUAAGACCAGCAACUAGACACGACGAUGCAACCGCAAAUUCAACAUAGCAAAACCCUAAAAAGAUUAUGCAAAGGCUCAGAUUGGUUCGGAUAUGAUGAACUAACCCUAAUUUUUUUUGUGGCUUUUUCGUGGACUAUAGGUAUGAAGAACAGACUCGAUCUAAACUACGAAAAACUGUAAAAUCUCACCGAACAACCUGGAAAUCUGAUACCACUUGAUAGAGGC